GACGUAGGGCGCGAGCGUUGUCCGGAUUUAUUGGGCGUAAAGAGCUCGUAGGCGGCUUGUCGCGUCGACUGUGAAAACCCGCGGCUCAACUGCGGGCCUGCAGCCGAUACGGGCAGGCUAGAGUUCGGUAGGGGAGACUGGAAUUCCUGGUGUAGCGGUGAGAUGCGCAGAUAUCAGGAGGAACACCGGUGGCGAAGGCGGUCUGCUGGGCCGAGUUGCUGACAGCU
RNAcentral lists this ribosomal RNA (227 nucleotides) under uncultured bacterium. Its description in RNAcentral is "partial 16S ribosomal RNA". It matches the Rfam family "Bacterial small subunit ribosomal RNA", at positions 524 to 747 of the family's 1533-position model. The record is from RNAcentral.